Long non-coding RNA from Vespula pensylvanica (western yellowjacket), 1284 nucleotides. RefSeq lists it as uncharacterized. NCBI's taxonomy places the organism in Eukaryota, Metazoa, Arthropoda, Insecta, Hymenoptera, Vespidae. The transcript is spliced from 2 exons. The record is from RefSeq and is a predicted model, not a curated record.
GAGAAAGAGAGAGGAGGGGGGAGGGAGAGAGAGGAAAAGAGAGAGAUGCACACGCACACACGCAUGCAUGAGAAUACCAGCGAAAUGGAAUAAUCAACGUCAAGCCACACGAAAUACAGAAUUAUAAAACUAUAAGCCCAGCUUGUAAAACUGUCAGCACCAAUUUUUUUCCUUUUUUAUUUCACGGUAAAUAAGAUACUGUAUAUAUGUAAACGUAGAAAAAUAUUACAUAUGUUAAUUAACGUAAUGAAAGAUAAAGAUUUUCUUGCAGAAUAUUUUUAAUAUUUGUUCGCGAUAUUCCUCGCCAUCAUGUUUGAAUAUAAGAAAUACACUAUCGUAAUUUUUUUUUACGUAUAUCAAGUAUAAUAUUUUAUAAUUGUUAUCAAAUAUAUAUAUAUAUACAUAGCCAUUUAUUUUGAAAGUGGCUUAAGUCCAUUUGUUCGUUUUUAAAUUGAGACAUUUAAUAGUUCGCAUUUGAAUCAAUUUAAAAAUAAGAAUUAUUUAUAACCGAGUAGUAUAAUAUUCUUGCGUUAAAAAAGAAUAUAUAAUUUCAGUUUAAUAAUCAGUUUAAUAAACAUCAUUUAAAAAGUAGGACGUUCUCGGUGGUUACAAAUAGAUUUAAAAUUGUUUUAAAAAUUAAUGUAAAGAUUUUUUUCAAUUUUUGAGAAAGUCCAUCGAAAAAAAAUGUAAAGCUUUAAAAUGAAUAAGUAAAAAAGACUAUCAUUUUGUCUAUUGUAAAUAUAAAAGUUGAACCCUUUUAAAAAAUUAUACGCACAAUCAAAUUAUAUUUAUAAGUAUCUGCUCCAUUUAAUUUUCGGAAGAAAUUUAAAAUAAUCAUGCUGUAUAUACUGUAAUAAGUCCAUUAACAUCUUUGUAUUUAGAUAUUGAAAUUAUUUUUACGUUUUUAUGCAAUGGCGAUAAUUGGAAUUUUAGCGUUCAAACGUAGACUUCAAGCCACUUUCAAAAUACAAAUUUUUACGAUUCCGUUAAUUAACUGAUCUAAACUAUUAACGAAAUUUCAGUGAAUUUGAAUGUAUCAUUGUUAGUCAUAAAUUUUUAAAUGAAAAAAUAUGCGUAGAAUUAUAACUAUUGUAAACGUUAACCCGUCUUUUUUUUGGAAAAAUAGACCUACGUAGGUUUCGAAAUAAAUGGCUCAUAUAUUUCUUUGUUAAAUACUAUUGCAGAGAACAAAAGUUUCUAUUUUUACAAUUUAUUUUCUUAUCGUCCAACUGAGAUACGAUUUCACAUAAAAAGUCAAAUUAAAGAGAGAGAGAGAGAGAGAGA